UAGACACGUGUUCUUUGAGUCGCGUUGUUUGGGAAUGCAGCGCAAAGUGGGUGGUAAAUUCCAUCUAAAGCUAAAUAUAAGUGCGAGACCGAUAGCGAACAAGUACCGUGAGGGAAAGAUGAAAAGAACUUUGAAAAGAGAGUUAAAGAGUACCUGAAACUGCUGAAAGGGAAUCGGAUUUCUCCAGUUCUAUAAUCCGCAGCAUAUUUCAUUGGCGAGUGGGUGCGUGUAGUGUGUAUGGCAGUGGCUUGCUGCGCCUUCCAUUACUCUGCUUUCGCUUGCCGGUGCCCUGUGUUGUGGUGGGACGUCAGAGUCAGUUCGUAAGUCGCGGGAAAUGGCUAGUUGGGGAGGUAGGUCAAGUGCUUGCGCUAGGCUGUUAUAUCCUGAUUAGCUAGUAGUCGUGGCUGGGACUGAGGUGUCUACAACGUGCUUUAAAGUCUUAUGUAUGCUUGUCUGGUUGAUAGCCUGGAUAGCUUGCUAUGCUGGUUGUUAUAUCGGGCGAUUGUGUGCGUGAGUAACUUUUGCCGUUCGGGACUUUGACGAAAUGGAGCGAUUCGGCCCGUCUUGAAACACGGACCAAGGAGUCUAACAUGUGUGCGAGUGUUAGGGUGGUAAACCCCAGCGCGUAAUGAAAGUAAAGGGCGCCGUAAGGUGUCUGAGGUAGGAAACUCUCCUUGUGGGGGUGGCACUAUCGACCGAUCAUGAACCUUCGUGGUGAAAGAUUUGAGUCUGAGCACAUAUGUUGGUACCCGAAAGAUGGUGAACUAUGCCUGAGUAGGGUGAAGCCAGGGGAAACUCUGGUGGAAGCUCGUAGCGAUUCUGACGUGCAAAUCGAUCGUCGAACUUGGGUAUAGGGGCGAAAGACUAAUCGAACCAUCUAGUAGCUGGUUCCCUCCGAAAUUUCCCUCAGGAUAGCUGCAACUUAAUGAUAGUUUUAUGAGGUAAAGCGAAUGAUUAGAGGACUCGGGGAAGAAACUUCCUUGACCUAUUCUCAAACUUUAAAUCUGUAAGACCUGCAGGUUUCUUAAUUGAACUUGUGGAUGUGAAUAUCAAGUUGCAUGUGGGCCAUACUGGGUAAGCUAGUCUGGCGAUGCGGGAUGAACCGAACGCAAAGUUAAAGUGCCAAAGUGCCCGCUCACCUAGACACCAUAAAAGGUGUUGGUUCAUUUAGACAGCAGGACGGUGGCCAUGGAAGUCGGAAUCCGCUAAGGAGUGUGUAACAACUCACCUGCCGAAUGAACUAGCCCUGAAAAUGGAUGGCGCUGAAGCGAGCCACUUAUACUUUGCCGUUAACGCGAUAGCAUGAAUAAUGUAAGCGUUAAUGAGUAGGAGGGCGCGAAGGUUGUGAAGAAGCUUGUGGCGUGAGCCUGAGUGAAACAGCCUUUGGUGCAGAUCUUGGUGGUAGUAGCAAAUAUUCAAAUGCGAACUUUGAAGACUGAAGUGGAGAAAGGUUCCGUGUGAACAGUAAUUGGACACGGGUGAGUCGACCCUAAGAGAUAGGAGAAUUCCGUUUGAAAGCGGGCUGUUUGAGGCAGGGGGUCUCCUUCUGUUUUGUAUGCAGCUUCGACUAUCGAAAGGGAAUCAGGUUAAUAUUCCUGAACCGAGACGUGGAUAAUGUGUGGCAACACAAUCGACCCA
Daphnia pulex (common water flea) is the source of this 1638-nucleotide non-coding RNA. The record is from Rfam. Lineage: Eukaryota; Metazoa; Arthropoda; Branchiopoda; Diplostraca; Daphniidae.